GCGCGCGUGGCGGAAUGGCAGACGCUCCGGACUUAGGAUCCGGUCCCGCAAGGGGUGGAGGUUCAAAUCCUCUCGCGCGCACCA
RNAcentral lists this transfer RNA (84 nucleotides) under Verrucomicrobiota bacterium. RNAcentral describes it as "Verrucomicrobia bacterium (groundwater metagenome) tRNA-Leu". It matches the Rfam family "tRNA". Rfam says of the family: Transfer RNA (tRNA) molecules are approximately 80 nucleotides in length. The record is from RNAcentral. Lineage: Bacteria; Pseudomonadati; Verrucomicrobiota.